GGGCCGCUAGCUCAACUGGCAGAGCAACUGACUCUUAAUCAGUAGGUUCACGGUUCGAUUCCGUGGCGGCUCA
RNAcentral lists this transfer RNA (73 nucleotides) under Nitrospinota bacterium. RNAcentral describes it as "tRNA-Lys". It matches the Rfam family "tRNA". Rfam says of the family: Transfer RNA (tRNA) molecules are approximately 80 nucleotides in length. Their secondary structure includes four short double-helical elements and three loops (D, anti-codon, and T loops). Lineage: Bacteria; Pseudomonadati; Nitrospinota. The record is from RNAcentral.